GAUGAACGCUGGCGGCGUGCCUAAUACAUGCAAGUCGAGCGAACAGACGAGGAGCUUGCUCCUCUGACGUUAGCGGCGGACGGGUGAGUAACACGUGGAUAACCUACCUAUAAGACUGGGAUAACUUCGGGAAACCGGAGCUAAUACCGGAUAAUAUAUUGAACCGCAUGGUUCAAUAGUGAAAGACGGUUUUGCUGUCACUUAUAGAUGGAUCCGCGCCGCAUUAGCUAGUUGGUAAGGUAACGGCUUACCAAGGCAACGAUGCGUAGCCGACCUGAGAGGGUGAUCAGCCACACUGGAACUGAGACACGGUCCAGACUCCUACGGGAGGCAGCAGUGGGGAAUCUUCCGCAAUGGGCGAAAGCUUGACGGAGCAACGCCGCGUGAGUGAUGAAGGUCUUCGGAUCGUAAAACUCUGUUAUUAGGGAAGAACAAAUGUGUAAGUAACUAUGCACGUCUUGACGGUACCUAAUCAGAAAGCCACGGCUAACUACGUG
This 497-nucleotide ribosomal RNA is filed under the name uncultured bacterium. RNAcentral's name for it is "partial 16S ribosomal RNA". It matches the Rfam family "Bacterial small subunit ribosomal RNA", at positions 28 to 507 of the family's 1533-position model. The record is from RNAcentral.